ACAAUGAUACUUCUGCCCAGCCACAGCCCCUUUCCUUUUUCGGAACAGGGAUCACGCAAUGGGGGCAGCCCGGUGAGAACCACGGGGAGGUUAGAUUCCUAUGG
RNAcentral lists this non-coding RNA (104 nucleotides) under unclassified sequences. RNAcentral describes it as "pemK RNA". It matches the Rfam family "pemK RNA". The record is from RNAcentral.